Small nuclear RNA from Jaculus jaculus (lesser Egyptian jerboa), 104 nucleotides. Lineage: Eukaryota; Metazoa; Chordata; Mammalia; Rodentia; Dipodidae. The record is from Ensembl.
UUGCUCACUUCAACAGCACAUAUACUGAAACUGAAACAACAAAGAGAUUAGCAUUACCCUUGUACAAGGAUGACACACAAAUUUGUUAAGCCUUCCAUAUUUUU